Molecule: ribosomal RNA, 465 nt
Filed under: Vreelandella stevensii
Lineage: Bacteria; Pseudomonadati; Pseudomonadota; Gammaproteobacteria; Oceanospirillales; Halomonadaceae
Description: partial 16S ribosomal RNA
Rfam family: Bacterial small subunit ribosomal RNA
Source: RNAcentral
CCUACGGGGGGCUGCAGUGGGGAAUAUUGGACAAUGGGGGCAACCCUGAUCCAGCCAUGCCGCGUGUGUGAAGAAGGCCCUCGGGUUGUAAAGCACUUUCAGGGAGGAAGAACGCCUGGUGGUUAAUACCCAUCAGGAAAGACAUCACUCACAGAAGAAGCACCGGCUAACUCCGUGCCAGCAGCCGCGGUAAUACGGAGGGUGCGAGCGUUAAUCGGAAUUACUGGGCGUAAAGCGCGCGUAGGUGGCUUGAUAAGCCGGUUGUGAAAGCCCCGGGCUCAACCUGGGAACGGCAUCCGGAACUGUCAAGCUAGAGUGCAGGAGAGGAAGGUAGAAUUCCCGGUGUAGCGGUGAAAUGCGUAGAGAUCGGGAGGAAUACCAGUGGCGAAGGCGGCCUUCCGGACUGACACUGACACUGAGGUGCGAAAGCGUGGGUAGCAAACAGGAUUAGAUACCCGUGUAGUC